Camellia sinensis is the source of this 1678-nucleotide non-coding RNA. NCBI's taxonomy places the organism in Eukaryota, Viridiplantae, Streptophyta, Magnoliopsida, Ericales, Theaceae. The record is from RefSeq and is a predicted model, not a curated record.
CACCACCACCGCCAAAGGGAAGGGAAGGGUAGGGUUGCGACCAAUUUCCCCAAAAAUCCCCCACCCCACGCAGAGAGAGAGAGAGAGAGAGAGAGAGAAUUGCAAUUUGCAAGGAGAUCAAAGGAGUAUGGAUUCCUCACAGAACUCUGGUGGUAUUAUAAAUCCUCAGCAAAACAGCGAAGCAUCGACCACCGAAAGAACAGGCAACGAUCCGAAGCAAAACCUAAACCAAGUGAUCAACUCCAUACAGAAGACUCUGGGACUUAUCCACCAGCUUUACCUCACUGUCUCUUCCUUCAACGCCGCCUCCCAACUCCCCCUCCUCCAACGCCUGAAUUCGCUUGUUUUGGAGCUCGACACCAUGACUAAAAUGGUUGACAAGUGCGAUAUCCAGAUCCCCAUGGAGGUCCUCAAUUUAAUUGAUGAGGGGAAGAAUCCGGAUGAAUUCACUAGGGAUGUGUUGAAUGGUUGCAUUGCCAAAAACCAGAUCACCAAAGGCAAAACCGAUGCCUUCAAGAGUUUACGGAAGCAUCAUCUAGAGGAACUUGAACAGGCAUUUCCAGAUGAAGUGGAAUCUUAUAGGGAGAUUCGAGCUACUUCUGCAGCUGAAUCAAAACGGAUUGCACAAGCACAGAGUAUAUUACCAAAUGGAGAUGUGAAAGUCAAGCCCGAGCUAUAAGAACCAUCGUCAUUGAAGAACAAGGUUAAUUUUGUUAUUGACAACAGACCAGCGCCUCUGUCUCUCUCUCUUCAGCGUCUCUCUUCCUCUCCCUCUCCCUCUCCGUUGCUCUUCUCCCCUCCCUCUCUCACCGCCGCUCCACCAGCUGUGCCUCCACAGCUCCUCCUCACGGUCGCUGACUAAGAAAAUUUAGUAGCCAAAAGUAUAAGUUUUGGCGACUAAAAAUUUAUUUGGUCGCUGAUAUAUGGCUUUUAGCGACUAAAAAAAUUUAGUAGCCAAAAGUGAGGCAUUCAGCGACUAAAAGUCUGUUUGGUCGCCAAAAGUGAGGCUUUUACAGACUAAAAAAAUUUAGUAGCCAAAAGUAAGGCCCUUUGGCGACGAGUUCGCGUAUUGACCCGAAAUCUAGGUUGGUGAUUAGGUGUUCUUCUACACCAUUUUUUUCGGUAUUGAUAGAACUAUCACUGUUUUUCUUCAUUGAAAUCGUUUCCUGUAUAUAAUCCAGAAGAUGAGUGUAGAUCUAGUCGCCUUGAAUACCCAUGGGAAUCUCGAUGAGCAGAUUGCACAGCUCAUACAGUGCAAACCCUUGUCUGAGCCUGAGGUAAUUUAUUGGCUGUAGGUAGCAACUUGGCCGGGCAUACUUACAACAAAAUAAUUUCAAAUCCUUGCAAGAGCUUUAUUAUGCAGGAGGUUAUUUAUUUUGGUGUACGAAGAGCAUUUGUUCUGUAUAUGGAAGACAUUUAUUUUUGUACAAUCCUCUGUUUUGAAAAUUCAGUGUUUUUGUAGCGAUCUAUUCGCCAGAUUAAAAAUUGGGCUCAUUUCUUGUAUCCGCAUUCUCACUUUCUUAUGCUAUUGUAGUUGGAAAGGAGUGAUAUUUAAUUUAGAUGGAUUAUACUUGGUUGGUAUGGAUUUGUAUGAUAUUUGGAAUAUGAUGUUACAAGUUAAAGUUUUUGGAUAGUUGAUAAUGAAAUAGGUAUUAUUGAUAAUGGAUUUAGAUUAUAA